This 496-nucleotide ribosomal RNA is filed under the name uncultured bacterium. RNAcentral describes it as "partial 16S ribosomal RNA". It matches the Rfam family "Bacterial small subunit ribosomal RNA", at positions 29 to 507 of the family's 1533-position model. The record is from RNAcentral.
AUGCACGCUGGCGGCGUGCCUCAUCCCUGCCAGUCGCGCGAACAGACGAGGAGCUUGCUCCUCUGACGUUAGCGGCGGACGGGUGAGUAACACGUGGAUAACCUACCUAUAAGACUGGGAUAACUUCGGGAAACCGGAGCUAAUACCGGAUAAUAUAUUGAACCGCAUGGUUCAAUAGUGAAAGAUGGUUUUGCUGUCACUUAUAGAUGGAUCCGCGCCGCAUUAGCUAGUUGGUAAGGUAACGGCUUACCAAGGCAACGAUGCGUAGCCGACCUGAGAGGGUGAUCGGCCACACUGGAACUGAGACACGGUCCAGACUCCUACGGGAGGCAGCAGUAGGGAAUCUUCCGCAAUGGGCGAAAGCCUGACGGAGCAACGCCGCGUGAGUGAUGAAGGUCUUCGGAUCGUAAAACUCUGUUAUUAGGGAAGAACAAAUGUGUAAGUAACUAUGCACGUCUUGACGGUACCUAAUCAGAAAGCCACGGCUAACUACGUG